Chlorocebus sabaeus (green monkey) is the source of this 560-nucleotide non-coding RNA. NCBI's taxonomy places the organism in Eukaryota, Metazoa, Chordata, Mammalia, Primates, Cercopithecidae. The record is from RefSeq and is a predicted model, not a curated record.
UGGGAAGCCGCUGCGCUCCCGCCGCGCGAGCUCUGUAAUCUUUGAGGUUUCUGCAGAUUUGUGGAGGAGCUUACUUGACAGCAAUCUCUUGGCGCGCUCAGAUCACUCUGCAAGCCUCUGGCACCCGCAGGGCCGCCGCUAAAGCAAGGGACUCUGGUCCCCCGGGCCUGCCCCGCGCAGCUCCCCCUGGCAGCUCCUCCAGAGAAGCAACGCAGCACCGAAAAAUAAAAUCCUACGGCGGGGAUUUAGACCAGAGAAGAGCGAGGGUUUGGGGCCUGGCGCCAGCUUAAGCCUCAGGGUAGCCUAAGAAAUCCUCUGAGAACUGGAGGAGCUCUGUCUAAUCGAAGACUGUGACUGGGGAACCUCGAUUCUUCGCAGGGUCCAGGACCUGCCCCUCCAUCAGCAGUUCCAGACUCUGAGCCUGGGAGCGUGCAUUACCAGGAACAUGGAGACACGGUGGCUACACAUGAAGAACAAUCCUAUAGGAUAAGCACUACUCUUGUUGCCAUUUCCCAGAUGAGGAAACUGAGGCACGGAGACGUGGAAGAACUUUCCCUCGG